RNAcentral lists this ribosomal RNA (432 nucleotides) under uncultured bacterium. RNAcentral's name for it is "partial 16S ribosomal RNA". It matches the Rfam family "Bacterial small subunit ribosomal RNA", at positions 29 to 507 of the family's 1533-position model. The record is from RNAcentral.
GCGAACGCUGGCGGCAGGCCUAACACAUGCAAGUCGCACGGAUCCUUCGGGAUUAGUGGCGGACGGGUGAGUAACACGUGGGAACGUGCCCUUUGGUUCGGAACAACUCAGGGAAACUUGAGCUAAUACCGGAUGUGCCCUUCGGGGGAAAGAUUUAUCGCCAUUGGAGCGGCCCGCGUCUGAUUAGCUAGUUGGUGAGGUAACGGCCCACCAAGGCGACGAUCAGUAGCUGGUCUGAGAGGAUGAUCAGCCACACUGGGACUGAGACACGGCCCAGACUCCUACGGGAGGCAGCAGUGGGGAAUCUUGCGCAAUGGGCGAAAGCCUGACGCAGCCAUGCCGCGUGAAUGAUGAAGGUCUUAGGAUUGUAAAAUUCUUUCAGCGGGGACGAUAAUGACGGUACCCGCAGAAGAAGCUCCGGCUAACUUCGUG